This 233-nucleotide ribosomal RNA is filed under the name uncultured bacterium. Its description in RNAcentral is "partial 16S ribosomal RNA". It matches the Rfam family "Bacterial small subunit ribosomal RNA", at positions 118 to 347 of the family's 1533-position model. The record is from RNAcentral.
UGAGUACCUGCCCUUCACUCUGGGAUAGCUACCGGGAAACCGGGGCUAAUACUGGAUAUGACUCGAACAGGCAUCUGUUUCGGGUGGAAAGAUUUAUUGGUGGAGGAUGGACUCGCGGCCUAUCAGCUUGUUGGUGAGGUAAUGGCUCACCAAGGCGACGGACGGGUAGCCGGCCUGAGAGGGUGACCGGCCACACGUGGGACUGAGACACGGCCCAGACUCCGUAGGGAGCA